GAUGAAGAACGCAGCGAAAUGCGAUAAGUAAUGUGAAUUGCAGAAUCCAGUGAAUCAUCGAAUCUUUGAACGCACAUUGCGCCCGCCAGCAUUCUGGCGGGCAUGCCUGUUCGAGCGUCAUUUCAACCCUCGACCUCCCUUUGGGGAAGUCGGCGUUGGGGACCGACAGCACACCGCCGGCCCUGAAAUGGAGUGGCGGCCCGUCCGCGGCGACCUCUGCGUAGUAAUCCAACUCGCACCGGAACCCCGACGCGGCCACGCCGUAAAACACCCAACUUCUGAACGUUGACCUCGAAUCAGGUAGGACUACCCGCUGAACUUAAGCAUAUCAAUAAGCGGAGGA
Molecule: unclassified non-coding RNA, 343 nt
Filed under: soil metagenome
Description: partial contains 5.8S ribosomal RNA, internal transcribed spacer 2, and large subunit ribosomal RNA
Rfam family: 5.8S ribosomal RNA (bases 1-120)
Source: RNAcentral